GACACGUGGUGCCUUCAGGCUCUGGGGCCUAGGACCUUUGUGGUAGCAGAGUCACUGCAGAGAACCAGACAAUACCAGGUUGCUUAUAAAAGGAUGCCAUGUGCUUGCUGGAGGUCCCAGGUGCAACCAAAUUGCUUGCAGCUAGGAGGACCUUGAAGAGAAAUGGGAUCAGCCCGCCAAACCAAGAAGGGUUAGCACUUUUGCUAGGAGAGCUGACCACGCACAAACAGAUGAGAACCAAAACCGAGUGAAGAGGAUUGAAGAUGAACCCACAUUUUAAAAGUUCUUGUCUGCUGGAGGUGGCAUUACCUGUGACCUCGCUUCACUUCUCCAUACAUGGCUGUUAUAGCAGAAAAUCCAGCUUUCUGAAGCAUAUUUCACGACAUAUGAUGAGACUUAUGUGAUGUGAGACCUGAGAAAACUAUGAUAGAAAGAAGCAACUCAAGUUGCAAGGAUAUUCCUCAUGUAUCAUGCAAGGAUAUUCCUCAUAUAUCAUAGACUAAGGUGUCAGUAUGUUCUUCAAGCUGCUCUGCUCCUGGGCCCAAGCUAUUCUCCUGCCUCAGCCUUCCAAGAAGCUGAAACUACAAGAACACAAGACUGUACCUGGCUUGCAAACACCAUUGCUAAUAAGAAGAUAUUGUAAGACUGAUACCUAAGAGAUAAGAGACAUGGAUCCCUGAGGUCGGUCCCCAAUACGACAAGACAAUUUGAUAUCAUAAUAGAACACUGCAGAAACAAUGCUGAGUGAAGAAGAGUAGAAAUGGGAAGACUUGGUUGAGCGGAAACUGAGUUCUUGAAAAGAGGAGAUGCUUGAUGAGGGCAUGGAUCCCUGAGGUCUGCCCCAGUACUAUAAGACAAUUUGAUGUAAGAAAACACAGCAGAUAUAAUACUGAGUGAAGAAGAGUAUAAAUGAGAAGAUUGGUUGUGCAGAUACUGAGUUCAUGAAAAGAGGAGAUGAUUGAUGAGGCCAGGUGCGGUGACUCAUGCCUGUAAUCCCUGCACUUUGGGAGGCUGCGGCGGGCGGAUCACCUGAGGUCAGGAGUUCGAGACCAGCCUGGGAGACAGAGCAUGGAAACCUAAGGUCUGUACCCAAAACUACAGGACUAUUUGACAUCAUAAUAAAACACUGCAGAUAUGAUGCUGAGUAAGAGUAGAAAUGGGAAGACUUGGUUGUGCAGUAACUGAGUUCUUGAAAAGAGGAGAUGCUUGAUGAGGGCAUGGAUCACUAAGGUCUGUUCCCAAUACAAGAAGACUCUUUGACAUCAUAAUAAAAUACUGCAGAUACGAUGCUGAGUGAAAAAGAGUAGAAAUGGGAAGACUUGGUUGUGCAGAAACUGAGUUCUUAAAGAGAGGAGAUACUUUAUGAGGGCUGGAGUGCACUGGAGCAAUCCUGGCUGGCCAAUACUGAGUUCUUGAAAACAGGAGAUGCUUGAUGAGGUUGCAGGGCUUUGACUCCUGGGUACAUGUAUCUCAUCUGAAAGGGAAUCCUGACGCCUACUGAAUCUUAAUAGUCAAUAUUGAUAUCUGGCAUCAAAUUCAAGUUGACCAAAGUUCCAUCUUCAGACCUGGGAGAAGAUGACAGUCAAAAUGAACUGCUUUCAUGUGACACUGGACCAGGCCUAUAUACAAAGGCAUAAGUAAUCAUUGAAUAAUGUUUCAUCUAUCUAUCUUAAUAUAAUUUGUUCUAUGCCUUACUAGAUAAAUGUUUAGUUACCUGUGAGUUUUCUUUUCCUGCCAUUGUCAGAGCUAGGCAGGGCUUAAGUCCCUUUCGUUUAAACAUUACUAACUCUAUACAUAGCUUGCAAAAUUGGAUAAAACAACAAAGGUUACUUUUUCACUCUCUCUCUGCUUAAUAUCUCUGAAAUUUAAAACUAUUCAGAAUCCCACUGGGCCCGAUCUAUUUUCAAUGCUAAUGCUCCACUGCUAAAACUAUAUAAGCAUCUUCCCUCUAGGCUCAGGCACUAUCUUGGAAGAGGUAAAUGUGUAAGAUUGUAAAGGUUGAUUUUUGAGCAACAAAAUUAAUUUAGAUCUUCCAAAUAAAAAAUGGGCACACAGAUGCCCAAACAGUUGGCAAAAUAAGAUACUUUACCUCCUGGACCAGUAUGUGGACCUUUUUCAUCCAUCCCAACCAUAAUUUCCUCUUUCCUGUAGAAUUAAAAGAAAAUUGCAAAGAGGAUAUGAACUUUUCUGGUAAGAAAACCUCCUGGGUAUAGUGCUCCCAGUUAUGAGAUUUAUGCAGAUUGUUAUAUAAAGUUUUUUUAAAUCAAGCACCUUAGGACAAACUAUUAAAAAGACUGCUAAAAGCGUUGUGACACAACAAAAGUCUCUAAAUUCUGUAGCUUAAAAAGUUUUAACAAAGUACUUAUCUUUUGCAAGCUAAUUGCUACAAGUCUAUAACUAAAACAUGUAUUGACUGAUGUCUUAGGUCUCCCUAAAAUAUAUAAAACCAAGUUGUAAACCAAUCACCUUGGACACAUGUUCUCAGGACCUCUGGAGACUGUGCCUUGGGCCAUGGUCACUCAUAUUUGGCUG
This 2532-nucleotide long non-coding RNA is filed under the name Homo sapiens (human). RNAcentral's name for it is "firre intergenic repeating RNA element". The record is from RNAcentral. Lineage: Eukaryota; Metazoa; Chordata; Mammalia; Primates; Hominidae.